ACUUAAGCAUAUCAAUAAGCGGAGGAAAAGAAACUAACAAGGAUUCCCCUAGUAACGGCGAGUGAAGAGGGAAAAGCUCAAAUUUUGAAUCUGGUGUCUUUGGCGCCCGAGUUGUAAUCUAGAGAAGUGUUUUCCGUACCGGACCGUGCACAAGUUCCCUGGAACGGGGCGUCAUAGAGGGUGAGAAUCCCGUAUAUGGCACGGACUACCGGCACUCUGUGAUACACUCUCAACGAGUCGAGUUGUUUGGGAAUGCAGCUCAAAAUGGGUGGUAAAUUCCAUCUAAAGCUAAAUAUAGGCGAGAGACCGAUAGCGAACAAGUACCGUGAGGGAAAGAUGAAAAGCACUUUGGAAAGAGAGUGAAACAGUACGUGAAAUUGUUGGAAGGGAAGCGUUUGAAGUUAGUCGCGUCUGUCGGGAUUCAGCCUGGCUUCUGCCUGGUGUACUUCCCGUCCGACGGGUCAGCAUCAGUUUUGACCGAGAGAAARAGACUUGGGGAAUGUGGCUGUCUUCGGGCAGUGUUAUAGCCCCUUGUUGUAUGUCUCGGUUGGGACUGAGGACUGCAGCGCGCCUUACGGCCGGGGUUCGCCCUCGGUACGCGCUUAGGAUGCUGGCAUAAUGGCUUUAAGCGACCCGUCUUGAAACA
Molecule: ribosomal RNA, 646 nt
Filed under: Sebacina cf. vermifera sensu Warcup & Talbot
Lineage: Eukaryota; Fungi; Basidiomycota; Agaricomycetes; Sebacinales; Sebacinaceae
Description: eukaryotic LSU rRNA
Rfam family: Eukaryotic large subunit ribosomal RNA
Source: RNAcentral